AUGGAGCUGAGGUCCCCUCCUGUGAACAUGGAGCUGAGGUCUCCUCCUGGGGCAGCAGUAACCUCCAGCACUGGUCCUGGAGAGAAGGUGAGGAACUGGCUAGUGAUCUGGAAGCAAGAGGCUUACCAUGGCUCAGAACAGGGACUGGGCAAGAGAAGAGGACACAGCAGAACUGCAGGCACUGACCUUGAGAGGCAGGAAGACACCACAGCAACCCUGCUGGAGCAGAGGCCCAGGUGGGCUCUGGUACUCCGUGGGCAAUCUAAGACCCUCAGCUGUAGUCUGAGGAAUUCCCAGUACCCGUGGAUGAGCUGGUACCAACAGGAUCUUCAGCAGCAACUACAACUGCUGGCUUCUGUGCGGAGUCCUGGGGACAAAGAGACCAUCUCCCUCUCUGGAGCGAAUUACCUGGCCACAAGAGUCAGUGAAAAUGAGCUGACGCUACAGGUGAACAAUGUGACCCAAGGCAGAACCCUGUACUGCACCUGCAGUAAAGACACAGUGUUUUUCUUCAGUCUGAAUUGCACAGUGAUUUAA
Molecule: non-coding RNA, 537 nt
Organism: Nannospalax galili (Upper Galilee mountains blind mole rat)
Lineage: Eukaryota; Metazoa; Chordata; Mammalia; Rodentia; Spalacidae
Source: the annotation of a RefSeq genome assembly